GAUGAACGCUGGCGGCGUGCCUAACACAUGCAAGUCGAACGGAAAGACGAUGAUGUUGGGGGCUUCUCGAUCGGGGGGCGGGUGAGUGACACAUGUGUAACAUGCCCCUGGAUGUGGGGGGACAUCUGGUGAAAACGGUUACUAACACAGAGGAGCUUCUGAAGCCCAGUGGGGGGUGGAAAGUGUCGGCUUUCCGGGAUGUACUCGCGGGUUAUCAGCUUGUUUGUGGGGUAGUGGCUUACCUAGGGGAUGACGGGUAGCCGGCGUGAGAGGGGGAUCGGCCACACUGGAACUGAGACACGGUCCAGACUCCUACGGGAGGCAGCAGUGGGGAAUAUUGCGCAAUGGGCGGAAGCCUGACGCAGCGAGGCCGCGUGUGUGAAGAAGGCCUUCGGUUCGUAAAGACCUUUUAGGGGGGAUGAACCGAUUUCGCUUGAGACGUAGCCCGAUUGACGGUACCCGGUGAAGAAGCACCGGCUAACUACGUG
This 488-nucleotide ribosomal RNA is filed under the name uncultured bacterium. RNAcentral describes it as "partial 16S ribosomal RNA". It matches the Rfam family "Bacterial small subunit ribosomal RNA", at positions 28 to 507 of the family's 1533-position model. The record is from RNAcentral.